CGAGACCUUAACCUGCUAAAUAGCCCCAUCGACUAUGGUUGGUGGCUGGCUUCUUAGAGGGACUAUUGGCUUCCAGCCAAUGGAAGUUUGAGGCAAUAACAGGUCUGUGAUGCCCUUUGAUGUCCUGGGCCGCACGCGCGUUACACUGAUGCACUCAACGAGCAUAUAACCUUGGCCGAGAGGCCUGGGUAAUCUUGUUAACUUGCAUCGUGAUAGGGAUAGAUUAUUGCAAUUAUUAAUCUUGAACGAGGAAUUCCUAGUAAUCGCGGUUCAUCAAACCGCAAUGAUUACGUCCCUGCCCUUUGUACACACCGCCCGUCGCACCUACCGAUUGAAUGGUCCGGUGAGGACUCGGGAUUGUGGUUUGGCUCCUUCAUUGGGGCCUGACCGCGAGAACUUGUCCGAACCUUAUCAUUUAGAGGAAGGUGAAGUCGUAACAAGGUUUCCGUAGGUGAACCUGCGGAAGGAUCAUU
This 473-nucleotide ribosomal RNA is filed under the name Thalassiosira gravida. RNAcentral describes it as "partial Eukaryotic small subunit ribosomal RNA". It matches the Rfam family "Eukaryotic small subunit ribosomal RNA", at positions 1336 to 1830 of the family's 1831-position model. The record is from RNAcentral. Lineage: Eukaryota; Bacillariophyta; Thalassiosirophyceae; Thalassiosirales; Thalassiosiraceae.